CAGUCGCCACGGUAAUACGAAGGGUGCAAGCGUUAAUCGGAAUUACCGGGCGUAAAGCGUGCGUAGGCGGUUUGUUAAGUCUGCUGUGAAAUCCCCGGGCUCAACCUGGGAAUGGCAGUGGAUACUGGCUCGCUAGAGUGUGUCAGAGGAUGGUGGAAUUCCCGGUGUAGCGGUGAAAUGCGUAGAGAUCGGGAGGAACAUCAGUGGCGAAGGCGGCCAUCUGGGACAACACUGACGCUCAUGCACGAAAGCGUGGGGAGCAAACAGGAUUAGAUACCCCUGUAGUCCCUGUCUCUUAUAC
This 301-nucleotide ribosomal RNA is filed under the name uncultured bacterium. Its description in RNAcentral is "partial 16S ribosomal RNA". It matches the Rfam family "Bacterial small subunit ribosomal RNA", at positions 509 to 807 of the family's 1533-position model. The record is from RNAcentral.